RNAcentral lists this long non-coding RNA (3219 nucleotides) under Homo sapiens (human). RNAcentral describes it as "HSALNT0193429". Lineage: Eukaryota; Metazoa; Chordata; Mammalia; Primates; Hominidae. The record is from RNAcentral.
CUGACCUUGUGAUCCACCCGCCUCGGCCUCCCAAAGUGCUGGGAUUACAGGCGUGAGCCACCGUGCCCAGCCAGGUGUUCUUUUUAAUAUCCGAACAUGUCUGCAUCAUUCUUCUGCUUAUAAGUCUCUAAGGACUUCCCUUUAGGCCAAGUCCAAGUUCCUUAGUCUGACAUGGAGGGCCCACUCCCACUGGGGCUCUCUCAGCCCUGCCUGUAGAUGGCAAAUAUUUCUUUCAGAUCUUUAAAAUGUCAGAGUCUCAGUUAAUCUUUCCUCAAUCGGACAAGAGAAGGCCUCAGAGAAAGCCCUCUUCUGCCUGCAUCAGUGCAGAUUCUCUGCAGAUGCAAAUCUCCCCCACAAAAGACAGUUCUGCAGGGUGACUUCUAUUCAUUGGCUCUCUGAACAGCCACCUCAAAAUAUGCCAAAGAAGUAUAUUUCGGGGUGAAAUAUUUUUAUUUCCUUCAGUCCUCACUUUGAAACUUGAAAAAGUUUCACAUCUGAAAAGCUAAAUUGAUAGCUUUGCAGAGAUUUGGGUGAUAGGCUGCAGAGAUAAAGAUAGGCAAAGGAGUGGAAAAAAACAAAUUGGGAUAAGCAAAAACGGGCAAAUUUAAAUAUAUCAUUCCGUGUCUUCUUGAAUCAGUCUCUUAGUCCUAAGAAUAAAUCAGUUCAGUUAAACAGCUGUGUCCCAUUCAGGAGGUGGCAUUGCAGAUGGGCUAGGCCUUUAGAGAUGACGCAGGCAAACAGACAGAUCUUUAAUAAGAGGCACAAAAUGUAAAUUUUGACCAAGGACAUAUUAUUUUGUACAACGGGGCUGAUAGCAACCUUGCAAGGAGGUCACAUGUCAUUCUGUAACUGAAAGCUAAAGAAGGAGAAUCACAACAGCAUUGGCUGAGUCCCCUAAAUUUCCAGAAAGUUGAUUAUUUUUUAGGUCAGCAAGAGGAAGGGAAUAAUCCCGUGACCAGAGAACCUAAAGAGAAUACAAAUAAGAAUGAAGAAGGUUAUAAAACACAGAAAACUUAGCAAAGACCUCUAGUGUCCUCCAAAAGAGUUGCGUGGCUGGAUGAGGGCCUUAGCUAUCUCUUAAUUCUCUUUCAUUCCACCUAACCAGGGAACCACAAGUCCUGCAUGAUAGUGAAAUGAUUGAGCUGUACCUGGAAGGUGAACAGCAGUAGAUACUCUGGUGGAAGCAUCAGGGUGUAGACAGAGCUCUUACAAGGGUGGCCUGAGCCACAGAGAGUGUGUCGUGGGUUCUGGGAGUAUAGGGAGGACAGCCUUACCUUCCCAGCCUGCUUUGAAGUUGGCUUCCUCUGCCCCUAGGCUGGAAGCUUCUUGAUGGUAAGACUGUGUCAUGUUCACCAUUGUAGCCCCAGUCCCUAUCCCUGGGCCCAGCUCAUGGUAAACAUUGAAAACAUAUUUGCUGAAUGAAUCAAUGAACCAAUGAAUGAGUGAAUGGUCUCUCAGUCUGAUGGCCAUGGUCACUGCUAAUUCUUUCUUGGUCUCAUUGCAGGUGUUUCUAGGACUAUGGGCUUGUAACCUGCUGAGCUAGGUUUCACCUGCAGAUACAAAGAAGCUGGUUCACCUGCAGAUACAGAGAAACUGGGUGGAUGGGAGGGUAGAAUCACAGGGCUGGCAGGCAGUGCCACUGCCAUUGGGAGCUGAGUUAUGACUGUUAGCCAGUGGGCCCCAUUCUCCUUAUGAAGGCCUCUCCACAUAGCUGCUCGGGUUUCCCCACAACGUGGCAUCUGUUUGAAGAAGGAAGACUCCAAGAGGUGAAGAUGGAAACUAUACAUCUCUUAAUGCCUGGCCUCAAAAGUUACACAGUCUGCCAUUUUUCAAAGCCUGUCACAGGCCAGCCCAGAUUCAAUGGGAACAGAAAUAGCCUUCCAUCUCUUGAUGGGUAGAGUGGCAAAGAAUACACAGCCAUUUUCAAUCCACCAUAAGAACAUUUGAAGAAAAAGAUGAAAAUUUCAGGUGGGACAUGUUGAGUUUGAGGUACCUGAGUGACAUCAAUGUAGAGACAUCAAGAAGUAGGCAAGUCAGCGCACAGGUCUGGUGAUCAGAGGAGAGCACUAGCUUUGAUAGACAUUUGGUCACUUGGUAGACAUAAAUAGUAGUUAGAAUUAUGCGUUAUCCAAAGAGUGUGUGAAGAGAGUGAAUGGCAGGAGACAAGAUGCAAGCUUUUAGUACAAUAGAUAUUUAGAGGUCAAGUAGAGAAAAAGUCUUCAUGAAAUGAAGACUAGGAAGCAAGACCUAGAGAAACAGAAAGAAGACAGAAGAGAAAGUGGCCAUAGAAGCCCAGCAGAGAGUUGGAGGAGACACUGUUCAAUAAUUUCAAAUGUCAUAAAGAGGUCAAGUAGGCCAGGUGCAGUGGCUCACGCCUUAAUCUCAGCACUUUGGGAGGCGAAGGCAGGUGGAUCACUUGAGCCCAGGAGUUCCAGACCAGCCUAGGCAACAUGGCGAAAUCCUGUCUCUACAAAAAAUACAAAAUUUAGCCAUGUGUGGUGAUGUGUGCCUAUGGCACUAGCUACUAGGGAGGCUGAGAUGGGAGAAUCACCCGAGCCCCAGUAGGGCAAGGCUACAGUGAGCCGUCAUUGCACCACUGCACUCCAGCCUGGGCGACAGAGUGAGACUCUAUCUAAAUAAAUAAAUAGGUCAAGUAAUAUUAGAAACAUGAAAAUGUCGACUGGUCUUGGCAAUACAGAGGUCUUUGGUGAGCUUAUGAAGGCAUUUCUAAUGUAGGAAUGAGGAUAGAGUUUUAAAUUUUUUGUUCAAGGAUGCAAAUAUUGCUGAAUGAAGCAAAAGAUUUGUUGCCUGGAAUUUAAUAUCUUUACAACUCUUUGUUCUUUUAGAGUCAUUCGGAUUCCUUUCGGUUGCUCAAAUAUAACAUUGUAUCUGCUUCUAAAUUCAUGGGCAACAAUUGUCCUCUUCUGGUUCAAAGGCACAAUAUAAUCCCAGGAAUUUUUUUGGUAUGUGCUUUGAGAUAUAAUGACUCUUUUGACUGGGCUGUUGUGUAUGAUGUUUGCAUGACUUGGGGAUUAUUCAUAGGGUCAACAGAAGGCUACCAAAAUAGCUCAGCUUAAAUCACAACCUUGGGAUAACCCUUGACUUCAGGUCUUCUUAUAACUGCAGAUUUAACACUGUUGCAUUAUCUUUACUGUUACUCUAAUGAAUUUAAAAAUUGAAUACUCUGUUAAAACUGAGGUGGCCGGCCGGGCGCGGUGG